UUCUUCAUUUCUAGAAAGUAACCACAAAAAAAAAAAAAAAAAGAAAGUAACCACAGUGCACACAAGAAGACAAGUAACUGCCCUAGAUUGUAAAUACUGAGGUGGAUCUCUUUCUUAACGUCCAGUGUCCUUUGUCUUAAGAUUUGGUGCAAUAUGU
Bubalus bubalis (water buffalo) is the source of this 157-nucleotide small nucleolar RNA. RefSeq annotates it as small nucleolar RNA SNORA81. The record is from RefSeq and is a predicted model, not a curated record. NCBI's taxonomy places the organism in Eukaryota, Metazoa, Chordata, Mammalia, Artiodactyla, Bovidae. The transcript has a single exon.